This 253-nucleotide ribosomal RNA is filed under the name uncultured bacterium. RNAcentral describes it as "partial 16S ribosomal RNA". It matches the Rfam family "Bacterial small subunit ribosomal RNA", at positions 524 to 776 of the family's 1533-position model. The record is from RNAcentral.
UACGAAGGGCCCAAGCGUUAUCCGGAUUUAUUGGGCUUAAAGGGUGCGUAGGCGGGCUAUUAAGUCAGUGGUGAAAGCCCCAAGCUUAACUUGGGAACUGCCAUUGAUACUGAUGGUCUUGAGUACAUUUGAGGUGGGCGGAAUGUGUCAUGUAGCGGUGAAAUGCUUAGAUAUGACACAGAACACCGAUUGCGAAGGCAGCUCACUAAACUGUAACUGACGCUGAGGCACGAAAGCGUGGGGAGCAAACAGG